UUUAAAAAGUUUGUUUAAAAUCUUGUUUUUGUUAUCCAAAAAAAUGUUAUAAUACUGAACUAUCAUUUUGUGUUUUCAAGUGUGGAAAGCGGGAAAAGGAGACGACAACCGCGACGACAACGGCCCGACGCCGCUGAUGACGUUCUCGCCGAAUAAUUGAUGAUGGCCUGGCGGCUCACACUGGUAAUCAAACACCCAAAGAGUUGAUUCGCUUUUUGAGAAAUUCAAGUGACCGCAAAACAAACAAUUUCCUGGUGCAAAAAAAAAGAGGAGGAAAAUCACCCGCCAGGAAUCCAGAGGGCUUAACCAUUGCACUUUGCCCGUACAUUUGCGAAUCCCCACAGCAAUCAACCUAAUUUAUUGCGACUCCCCGAAACCCAGUGAAACUCGAACCGCAGCCAAUGACUGUCAUUCAUCUAUGAAUGUUAAUAAUUUCCAUUGCCUUUUGGCCAAAUGCGAAAUUCAACAACCACACCAUUGCAUUGCAUUUCAUUGGCCUGUGAGUUUUUGUGGCUGCAGCCCUGGCAUUCACUCUGCGGUUUUUAUUUCCUCGGUUGCUUUGAAGCCCUUGAGUCAGUC
RNAcentral lists this long non-coding RNA (579 nucleotides) under Drosophila melanogaster (fruit fly). Its description in RNAcentral is "long non-coding RNA:CR43802 (Dmel_CR43802)". The record is from RNAcentral. Lineage: Eukaryota; Metazoa; Arthropoda; Insecta; Diptera; Drosophilidae.